AGCUCCAAUAGCGUAUAUUAAAGUUGUUGCAGUUAAAAAGCUCGUAGUUGGAUUUGUGGCGAUUGCAUGGAACCCUUCACUUUUGUGUAGUGGUCUUUGUGUGAUGCCAUCCUUGGGUGGAGCCUGUGUGGCAUUAGGUUGUCGUGCAGGUGAUGCCCAUCGUUUACUGUGAAAAAAUUAGAGUGUUCAAAGCAGGCUUAUGCCAUUGAAUAUAUUAGCAUGGAAUAAUGAGAUAGGACUUUGGUACUAUUUUGUUGGUUUGCGCAUUAAGGUAAUGAUUAAUAGGGAUAGUUGGGGGUAUUCGUAUUCCAUUGUCAGAGGUGAAAUUCUUGGAUUUUUGGAAGACGAACUACUGCGAAAGCAUUUACCAAGGAUGUUUUCAUUAAUCAAGAACGAAAGU
This 400-nucleotide ribosomal RNA is filed under the name phytoplankton environmental sample. Its description in RNAcentral is "partial small subunit ribosomal RNA". It matches the Rfam family "Eukaryotic small subunit ribosomal RNA", at positions 587 to 990 of the family's 1831-position model. The record is from RNAcentral.